CCUACGUGUGGCUGCAGUGAGGAAUAUUGGUCAAUGGGCGCGAGCCUGAACCAGCCAAUUAGCGUGAAGGAUGACUGCCCUACGGGUUGUAAACUUCUUUUAUAAAGGAAUAAAGUGAGGGACGUGUGCCUUUUUGUAUGUACUUUACGAAUAAGGCUCGGCUAACUCCGUGCCAGCAGCCGCGGUAAUACGGAGGAUCCGAGCGUUCUCCGGAUUUAUUGGGUUUAAAGGGAGCGUAGUUGGGUUGUUAAGUCAGGUGUGAAAGCUUGCGGCUCAACCGUAAAAUUGCAAAUGAUACUGGCAGCCUUGAGUACAGAUGAGGUAGGCGGAAUUGGUGGUGUAGCGGUGAAAUGCUUAGAUAUCACGAAGAACUCCGAUUGCGAAGGCAGCUUACUAAACUGCCACUGACAUUGAUGCUCGAAAGUGUGGGUAUCAAACAGGAUUAGAUACCCUAGUAGUC
This 460-nucleotide ribosomal RNA is filed under the name uncultured bacterium. RNAcentral describes it as "partial 16S ribosomal RNA". It matches the Rfam family "Bacterial small subunit ribosomal RNA", at positions 338 to 795 of the family's 1533-position model. The record is from RNAcentral.